UACGUAGGUGGCGAGCGUUAUCCGGAAUUAUUGGGCGUAAAGAGCGCGCAGGUGGUUGAUUAAGUCUGAUGUGAAAGCCCACGGCUUAACCGUGGAGGGUCAUUGGAAACUGGUCGACUUGAGUGCAGAAGAGGGAAGUGGAAUUCCAUGUGUAGCGGUGAAAUGCGCAGAUAUCAGGAGGAACACCAAUGGCGAAGGCAGGUCUCUGGGCAGUUACUGACGCUGAGGAGCGAAAGCAUGGGUAGCGAACAGGA
This 254-nucleotide ribosomal RNA is filed under the name uncultured prokaryote. RNAcentral describes it as "partial 16S ribosomal RNA". It matches the Rfam family "Bacterial small subunit ribosomal RNA", at positions 524 to 777 of the family's 1533-position model. The record is from RNAcentral.